UGCCGGCGGCCGGCGGACGGGUGCGUAACGCGUAUGUAACCUACCUUUGACAGGGGGAUAACAUCGAGAAAUUGGUACUAAUACCCCAUAACAUCACCGGAGGCAUCUUCGGUGGUUGAAAACUCAGGUGGUCAGAGUUGGACAUGCGUUGUAUUAGCUAGUUGGUGAGGUAACGGCUCACCAAGGCGACGAUACAUAGGGGGACUGAGAGGUCAACCCCCCACAUCGGUACUGAGACACGGACCAAACUCCUACGGAAGGCAGCAG
RNAcentral lists this ribosomal RNA (267 nucleotides) under uncultured bacterium. Its description in RNAcentral is "partial 16S ribosomal RNA". It matches the Rfam family "Bacterial small subunit ribosomal RNA", at positions 86 to 354 of the family's 1533-position model. The record is from RNAcentral.